Molecule: ribosomal RNA, 495 nt
Filed under: uncultured bacterium
Lineage: Bacteria
Description: partial 16S ribosomal RNA
Rfam family: Bacterial small subunit ribosomal RNA
Source: RNAcentral
GACGAACGCUGGCGGCGUGCCUAAUACAUGCAAGUAGAACGCUGGAGGAGGAGCUUGCUUCUCUGGAUGAGUUGCGAACGGGUGAGUAACGCGUAGGUAACCUGCCUGGUAGCGGGGGAUAACUAUUGGAAACGAUAGCUAAUACCGCAUAAUAUUGACUAUUGCAUGAUAGUCAGUUGAAAGGUGCAACUGCACCACUACCAGAUGGACCUGCGUUGUAUUAGCUAGUUGGUGGGGUAACGGCUCACCAAGGCGACGAUACAUAGCCGACCUGAGAGGGUGAUCGGCCACACUGGGACUGAGACACGGCCCAGACUCCUACGGGAGGCAGCAGUAGGGAAUCUUCGGCAAUGGACGGAAGUCUGACCGAGCAACGCCGCGUGAGUGAAGAAGGUUUUCGGAUCGUAAAGCUCUGUUGUAAGAGAAGAACGAGUGUGAGAGUGGAAAGCUCACACUGUGACGGUAUCUUACCAGAAAGGGACGGCUAACUACGUG